Molecule: transfer RNA, 51 nt
Filed under: Candidatus Buchananbacteria bacterium RIFCSPLOWO2_01_FULL_56_15
Lineage: Bacteria; Candidatus Buchananiibacteriota
Description: tRNA-Asp
Rfam family: tRNA
About the family: Transfer RNA (tRNA) molecules are approximately 80 nucleotides in length. Their secondary structure includes four short double-helical elements and three loops (D, anti-codon, and T loops).
Source: RNAcentral
GGGGGCGUAGCUCAGUUGGUUAGAGCGUCUGCCUGUCACGCAGAAGGUCGU